Molecule: non-coding RNA, 232 nt
Organism: Pelobates cultripes (western spadefoot toad)
Lineage: Eukaryota; Metazoa; Chordata; Amphibia; Anura; Pelobatidae
Source: the annotation of a GenBank genome assembly
GCUACUUCCAAACCAGUACUUAGCGAGUAGCUAGCAGUGGAACGUAUUUCUUCAGACUGGGUACUGGAGCGUGUCAACAAAGUUUGUAACGCUAACGCCAUUUGGUCCAUUCUAUGGUCCAUGGCCUCAAAUCUGGGGUCAGGAGGACUAGCACCUGCAGGAUCCAUCUGGCCCUGUCGUAAUGUCAGGAAACUGACAGGGAUCCAAUACGCAGAGUGCGCACAGCAGGAGG